AUUGAACGCUAGCGGCAGGCCUAACACAUGCAAGUCGAACGAGUGGCGGACGGGUGAGUAAUGACUGGGAAACUGCCUGAUGGAGGGGGAUAACUACUGGAAACGGUAGCUAAUACCGCAUACCAUCGGAUGUGCCCAGAUGGGAUUAGUUAGUAGGUGGGGAAAAGGCUCACCUAGGCGACGAUCCCUGGCUGGUCUGAGAGGAGAACCAGCCACACUGGAACUGAGAAACGGUCCAGACUCCGACGGGAGUCAGCAUUGUGGAAUGUUGCACAAUGGGCGACAGCCUGAUGCAGCCCAGCCGCGUGUGUGAAGAAGUUCUUCGGAUUGUAAAGCACUUUAAGUUGGGAGUCGUUACCAACAGAAUAAGCACCGGCUAACUUCGUGCCAGCAGCCGCGGUAAUAC
RNAcentral lists this ribosomal RNA (406 nucleotides) under uncultured bacterium. Its description in RNAcentral is "partial 16S ribosomal RNA". It matches the Rfam family "Bacterial small subunit ribosomal RNA", at positions 30 to 526 of the family's 1533-position model. The record is from RNAcentral.